Non-coding RNA from Leptodontidium sp. MPI-SDFR-AT-0119, 114 nucleotides. The record is from the annotation of a GenBank genome assembly. NCBI's taxonomy places the organism in Eukaryota, Fungi, Ascomycota, Leotiomycetes, Helotiales, Leptodontidiaceae.
GCCCGGGUAGCUCAAUCGGUAGAGCGUGUGGCUCUUAUGAAUGGUUUCAUUCAUCUGAACGAGACAAAUCACUAGAACACCUCAAGGUCGUGGGUUCGAGCCCCACCUCGGGCU